Molecule: long non-coding RNA, 311 nt
Filed under: Mytilus galloprovincialis (Mediterranean mussel)
Lineage: Eukaryota; Metazoa; Mollusca; Bivalvia; Mytilida; Mytilidae
Source: RNAcentral
UGACAAACAAUGAGCAAGGUAAAGAAAUAUCUUGUACUUUCAAUAUUGAGGUGGCUUGUAGUUUUUAUUCAUGAAUACAAUAGUAAGAGCGUCCUAGUUCAACACUUCACUAAAUCUUGAAUUAUAAAGAUGAGUAUCUGACUCAAAAUAAUUCAAUUAACUUCAACUCGAUGAAUUAAAAAUGACAACAUAGAUCAAAAAGACAACAUAGACAUAUAGUGACAGUCAUGAUUUUAACGUUAAAUAUAACGGAAAUACUAUAAGGAGAUCUGAUGUUGUAUGAUUGUCAAAAAUACAAGAUCCUACCAGAG